This 383-nucleotide ribosomal RNA is filed under the name uncultured fungus. RNAcentral's name for it is "SSU rRNA". It matches the Rfam family "Eukaryotic small subunit ribosomal RNA", at positions 587 to 972 of the family's 1831-position model. The record is from RNAcentral. Lineage: Eukaryota; Fungi.
AGCUCCAAUAGCGUAUAUUAAAGUUGUUGCCGUUAAAAAGCUCGUAGUCGAACUUCGGCCUCUGCCACCCGGUCCGCCUAUUUGGGUGUGUACUGGAGUGGUGGAGGCUUACCUCGUGGUGAGCGGCCAUGUCCUUUACUGGGCGUGGUCGGGAACCAUGACAUUUACUUUGAAAAAAUUAGAGUGUUCAAAGCAGGCUUACGCCCGAAUACAUUAGCAUGGAAUAAUAAAAUAGGACGUGCGGUCCUAUUUUGUUGGUUUCUAGGAUCGCCGUAAUGAUUAAUAGGGAUAGUUGGGGGCAUUCGUAUUCAAUUGCUAGAGGUGAAAUUCUUGGAUUUAUUGAAGACGAACUACUGCGAAAGCAUUUGCCAAGGAUGUUUUCA